UACGGAGGGUGCAAGCGUUAUCCGGAUUCACUGGGUUUAAAGGGUGCGUAGGUGGUUUUGUAAGUCAGUGGUGAAAUCUCCGUGCUUAACAUGGAAAACUGCCAUUGAUACUAUAGAUCUUGAAUUUUCUGGAGGAUAGCGGAAUAUGUCAUGUAGCGGUGAAAUGCUUAGAUAUGACAUAGAACACCAAUUGCGAAGGCAGCUAUCUACAGGGAUAUUGACACUGAGGCACGAAAGCGUGGGGAUCAAACAGG
This 254-nucleotide ribosomal RNA is filed under the name uncultured bacterium. RNAcentral's name for it is "partial 16S ribosomal RNA". It matches the Rfam family "Bacterial small subunit ribosomal RNA", at positions 524 to 776 of the family's 1533-position model. The record is from RNAcentral.